UCCAAGGCGCAGGCUGGUGAGUAAACAGAGACUUACUGGUCAGUGCCCGGUGGUCAGACUGAUGAAUGAAAGGUGGAUGGAUGGGAUGUCUGUUAGGAGGGGCGCGCUUCCCAGAAAAGGGUCUAAGGGACAAUACAGGACAAGAAGGCAUGAGGUGGCGGGGUGUUAGUGUGGGUUCUGCAGUCGAAACAGAUCCGCACUGUCCUCUUUUACUUGCAGCGCACAUUCAUAGCCCAGGAAUCUCCCUUUUGUUUCUGCCAGCCAGUAUGUACCAAAGCUACUUAAAAAUGGAGCCAUUCAGCUGUAGCUACAGAUACCCGCUCUGCAACUGCUGAGCUAGCUGCUCGUGUCUCGCAUGAAUGAGCUGUUUUUAUCUACAGAGAGAGCAGGUCCUCUUCCUUGGAGGCCGUCAUGUUUAACUGCCAUGUUUCUACAGUAGCCCAGAAUGGACAAACCAAUCACUGGCUCUAGCUUCCUUCCUCUGAGCUAUACCCUCAUCAGUUUUUGCCAGCACACAUUUCAGUUUUGGUAAAUCUACAUUCACCAUUGGUCCUGAUUGCAUCAAAUAUAUCCUAACCAACAGAUUCACCUCAAUAAAAAUCUGAGUGAAAAUCUUUAAAGAC
Molecule: long non-coding RNA, 623 nt
Organism: Dicentrarchus labrax (European seabass)
Lineage: Eukaryota; Metazoa; Chordata; Actinopteri; Moronidae
Exons: 4
Source: RefSeq, a predicted model, not a curated record